GUCAGGUCUGUCAAAGGUGAGGAAGGAGAAUUCCCUACAGUCUGUGUGGGUUUUGUGAGUGGAGGUCUUGUUGGGUCUGAGGCUGGGAGAGGUGUCAGGAGAGGAAGAAUCCUUGGGCCUUGGUGUGGCUGAAAAUGCAGCAACUUGAGAUCUUCUAGAGACCCAGGAGUAUGUUGCUUCUACCUCAGACUGGGGAGAGGGGAGCUCCCCAAAACGAUGGAGGAGAUGAAGAUAUCAACCAGCCAAAUUCCUGUUCACGACCAGCCUGUUGUGAGCUCUCCUGGGGGAUCAGCAGUGGCUGAGAGGUUGGAUGUGUGAUGGAGUAGGGUGGGUUUAUGGAGAGUGUUUGUUCCAGACAUGACACAGGGGAAGGGCUCACAGGGUUCAACCUGAUGAGCAGGUGCAAAAGAUAAGGCCCCUAUUAAGGCUAAUUUGCUGAGAUUUUCAUUUUAGCAAAAACAAAUGAUCAGUUUUUUGGAUGUCUCAAAUAUGUUUGAAAUUUAUGUGUAUUCUCUAUGGUUGGGCAUGAAUUUAUGAAUGUAUGUGUGUAUAAAUAAAUUUAAGUGUGUCCUUCAAAUAGUUUAUAUCAGGAAUCAGCAAAUUAUGGUCUUUAAGCCAAAUCCAGCUGGCCACCUGUUUCUGGAGGUUAGUGUUUAUUGGACACAGCCAUCAUCA
RNAcentral lists this long non-coding RNA (675 nucleotides) under Homo sapiens (human). RNAcentral describes it as "HSALNT0015403". Lineage: Eukaryota; Metazoa; Chordata; Mammalia; Primates; Hominidae. The record is from RNAcentral.